AUGCAGGACUGCCAUGUCGUGCACGCUCCAAUGGAGGCACGGCUGAAGCUCAGCAAGGAUAGCUCCGAGAAGGCGGUGGAUGCUACACUCUACUGUAGCAUCAUCGGGAGUCUCAGGUACCUCGUGCACACCCGAACGGACAUCACGUUCGUUGUCGGGUACCUGAGUAGGUUCAUGGAAGCCCUGGCAAGCGAUCAUCUCGCUGCCGUCAAGCACCUGCUCCGGUACAUCGCGGGUACGCUCACGCAUGGAUGCGUGUAUCGUCGUGGCGACGGCAAGAGCUUGGUCGGGUACAGCGACUCUGACCACGCUGGUGACGUGGACUCCCGGAAGAGCACCUCGGGCAUACUAUUCCUUUUCGGGAAUAGUCCCGUCAGCUGGCAAUCGGUGAGGCAGAAGAUUGUCGCCGUAUCUUCGUGCGAGGCGGAGUACAUCGCAGCAGCUACAACGGCCUGUCAAGGCAUUUGGCUUGCUCGCCUUCUUGGCGAGAUGCUGAAUCAGGACACCGCCUCUGCGCUCAUCUUCGUCGGCAACAAGUCGGCGAUUUCCCUCUGCAAGAAUCCAGUGCUUCACGACCGCAGCAAACACAUCGAUCUCCGCUAUCACUUCAUACGUGACUGCGUCGAGAAAGGCUCGGUGAUCGUGGAGUUCAUUAGGACUGGUGAACAGAAGGCGGACAUCCUGACCAAGUCACUUGGUCGUGUCCGGUUCCAGGAGCUGCGCGACAAGGUCGGGAUCAUCGACACCAAGCUCCUUCGACAAGGUUGA
RNAcentral lists this ribosomal RNA (768 nucleotides) under Triticum aestivum (bread wheat). RNAcentral describes it as "partial small subunit ribosomal RNA". Lineage: Eukaryota; Viridiplantae; Streptophyta; Magnoliopsida; Poales; Poaceae. The record is from RNAcentral.